UGGGGAAUAUUGGACAAUGGGCGCAAGCCUGAUCCAGCAAUGCCGCGUGAGUGAUGAAGGCCUUAGGGUUGUAAAGCUCUUUCGCACGCGACGAUGAUGACGGUAGCGUGAGAAGAAGCCCCGGCUAACUUCGUGCCAGCAGCCGCGGUAAUACGAAGGGGGCUAGCGUUGUUCGGAAUUACUGGGCGUAAAGGGCGCGUAGGCGGCCUGUUUAGUCAGAAGUGAAAGCCCCGGGCUCAACCUGGGAAUAGCUUUUGAUACUGGCAGGCUUGAGUUCCGGAGAGGAUGGUGGAAUUCCCAGUGUAGAGGUGAAAUUCGUAGAUAUUGGGAAGAACACCGGUGGCGAAGGCGGCCAUCUGGACGGACACUGACGCUGAGGCGCGAAAGCGUGGGGAGCAAACAGGAUUAGAUACCCUGGUAGUCCACACCGUAAACGAUGAAUGCUAGACGUCGGGGUGCACGCACUUCGGUGUCGCCGCUAACGCAUUAAGCA
This 493-nucleotide ribosomal RNA is filed under the name uncultured bacterium. Its description in RNAcentral is "partial 16S ribosomal RNA". It matches the Rfam family "Bacterial small subunit ribosomal RNA", at positions 355 to 866 of the family's 1533-position model. The record is from RNAcentral.